This is a long non-coding RNA of Numida meleagris (helmeted guineafowl), 10163 nucleotides long. RefSeq lists it as uncharacterized. NCBI's taxonomy places the organism in Eukaryota, Metazoa, Chordata, Aves, Galliformes, Numididae. The transcript has 3 exons. The record is from RefSeq and is a predicted model, not a curated record.
UUUUCACGCGUCAUCUCACAACAGCCAUCUCCCAGUAUGCUCCCCGAGCCCUUUUUCAAGAUUCUUUCCAUAAAUGUGGAGGGCGCAGAGCCCUGUCUGCGCCUGGGGCAACGGUUUUUGAAAAGGAGAAAAAAGAAGUCAGAAGUGCUGAGGUCACGAGCCUUGGCUAAGAGCACGUGUUUACUAUCAUUAAUUGGAAAAGAAAGGGAACGCUUAGGGGGUUUGUUUUUAUUUUUUAUUAUUAUUGUUGGAAAUGAUUAGUCGUCUCGGUCUGUUAUCUAUUUAAACACAAAGGAAGCUUGGCAGUAGAACAAACAAAGCUUAUGAAGUCCAUAUAAAGCCACAAAGAUCAAAAUACUUCAGAUUUUUUUUCUCCUGGUCCCUCCUCCUGUCUCAUAUUAAAAUGGAAAGAAAAAAAAAAGCAACACCAAAUGUUAAAAGCCCAUAAAUAAAAACAAAAAGGCAAGAGUGUUCUGCAAGGCAUUAGCUUUGUUUUCCAACAGGUGCUUUUCAUAUUCGGAGUAAUUUCAGGGUGGAUGGCAGUGCUGCAAUAGGAAAGGACCAAAUCAGAGGCAGAAUAGAAAUUGUUUUCUGUACUCCAGAUUGAAAUCCAAUCUUUGAUUUUUUUAAAGAGCCUCUUAAAUCACAGGUUGUGCUAAUUAUAGGGGAAUGAACUGCAGGUUUCUCAUUUAAGGCACCUGGGCCAUGGCUUGAAGUCUCAAGUGAAAAAAGAAACCAUACACAUGUGUUCACAUUCUCUUUCUAAUGCUUCAGUGCUGCAUAGCAAGUAAUGCCAAAAUGAAUAAAUAGCAUGCUGCAGAUCUUUUCUCUAGGACAUAGUUUGUUGUUGCUGUUGUUGUUAUUAUUAUUCUAGUCUAAAUCAUGUUAUUCAAGGAGAAAUCUAGGGGAAAACUCUGCCUGUUUAGGAGGAUGCAGAUACCAAGAAGGCAGCUGGAGGUGUUCGCAGCCCCACCUCUCCUACCACAACACCCUGCUAACAUCUAAAAGCAGCAGCCAUCAGCUCAGCAGCUCUCACGUUGGAUGGCAUAGUCACCCAAGGAAUAUCAAGCUGUCUUACUGCGCACGCAGAGCCAGAGUGAAAGCCUCAGCAGAGCAAGCUGGAGGCACACAGCAGAGCCACUCCAUUUCCAAGACAUUCUCAGGGGCCAACCCACAUACUUAACAGGGAUACCAAGUUGCAGGCACGCAGGGAAAAGAUGUGCAAAGAUCAUAACCUACUUCUCCCUCGUUCAUGCAUUAUGCACGUCUCGAUUUCUGUGCAUUUCUCACAUGUAUUUCCAGUUUUAGGCAGACUUAAAAAUGUCACUUCCACUUCUCUUUAGAAAUGCCAGAGAAGGAAUAAUCAGCUACAUCUCAAGCUGACUGAACAUUUAAGAGCUGCUGCAUUUAUUAGUGUCUUCAGGAACAGAUGUGUAUUAUCUCCUUAUCCAAGUUAAAGGGCUUUUUGGUCUUUGCUUGAAGGCUGCACUAGAAAGAUUUAAUAUUAGUGUAAUGAGAGAAGAUGGGGAUAAAAGUUGUUUAUGCAGACCUUAGGCAUCACUCUUAAGUCAGAAGGCUUGGUUUUGAUCCUGUGCUUAUGACCAAAAGAGCCUUUUAUGUUUUGUCUUUUCUUGUAAAAUGCAUCCACUAAAUAAAUGAUACUUCACUGAUUAUUGGGGUUUUUGGGGGGCAGCAAAAACAGAACUCCUCUCCAGGUAGAUGUUUUGCUUUGCUUCAAAAGCAUAAUCCCCUGCAGCCACCUGGUGCCAAAGCAGGACUCCAGGCAGCGUAUGGUGCUUCUAUAGGAGCCUUAUCUUGUCAGCCUCCAGCUGACUCCACAGCAACCAUAGAGAUAGGCAAUUAGCAUUUGGACAGAGAUGGAUGUGGUCUUAGAAUCCAAGACUGUUCAGUCUGGGUGACUAAAUUUAGCCAUCUGAACUCACCAUGGUAUCAGUGGAGUAAAAAGCCAGCAAGCUUUAUUUAGGAUCCCUCACCCCUCCAAAAUUAAAUACAUCAUAUGUCCACACAUGCACGCACAUGUGUGUUUCUUUCAAAGAGCUGGCAAAGCUUUAACACUACCUUACCAGCUCCUUCAUAUUUUAUUCUGCCCCAGGGACCUCUUUAAAACCCUGGAUCCACCAAUCUCCACAAGUGCCUGUAACAUGCAGAGGGAGGUAAGGAAUCUUGGUUACUUCUCCCUCCAAACACAGGAGGUUCGUUUUGAGUUAAAUAUCACUAGGACUCACUGGGGUGACUGUACAGAGCCAGCCACAAGGGAUGUAAUACCAAAUGGCCUGAACUUUCAGCAGAGCACGAAGAAAAUGCUGAACUUCAGACUUUAGAAAGAAAAAAGAAAGAGAAAGGGGAAGAGGGGAAGUGGCCAUUCCCUUCUUCAAGCUUAAGGGGGAAACAAAAUAUAGACAAGCCUUUACUUGCUGACGUGGAUGGAAAUAGCUGCAAACUACCAGAAAUACAAUUCUUGUGGUUCCCAGCAGAAGGCCCAAGUUCCCCUCUCACAGUGUUUCCAAGUUACAGCAGUCUGAGUGUUUUGGAUGCUCAUCAAAUACAGGAUCUAAGGAAAGACUGUCCCAAGAGUAAGCUGCAGAACUCCAGUCUGUUGGUUUAAGUGACCGCAUUUACUUCGCUAGCUGACUGAUCUAGAGAUCAAAGUUUGUAGGGAUUUUUUUUCCAAUUGGAAGAGGAAGUUAAUCAGAAGCUUUAUAAAAUUAACACUCUACUUAAUUUUGCAUCUUCAGGUCAUCUCUUCAUGAAAGGUUUAUUUUUUUUUCAGUAGAAUGAGCUAGAUACAGCAGCAGAAAAUUAACCUAUUUUUUUGCUUGGCAGCAUAAGGAUUCAUGGGAAUGCCUUGAAAUCACCAUUUUCCUCUCCACUAAAUUGCCUUUGCUCUUUAAAGCAUGAGACGGCAGCAAAAGGAGAAUCUCAUUCUGUAUUACAGCAAUUCCUCAAGCAUUUUUGGAUGCUUCGAAGUAGAAUGCCUGGCAGCAGUAGAUUAGGACAUGGGACUGACAAAAAUUGCUGUCAGCUUGCUUAGAAUUAAGGAGAGAGUUGUCCCUGACUCCUUUUCCAGUACUUAACUGUGAUUUUUUCAGACUGAUCCCCUAAAGAGUUCUUAAUUUGGAGAGUGUUCCCUCUGCUGAGGGGUCUCCUCUCCCUCCCUGUCCCAACACAAAUCUGUACAGCAGCACCCACAGCCAGUGUUCUUGCCUUGUGCCCUGAGGAAGCUUACAGCAAUGAGCACUGUACAGGAGUCAAGCGUAGGACCCUGAAACCAGGCCGUGCACACAUUUGCUUUUAAUACAGUUACAGUAUCGGAGCAGUCGCCCUUAUGUUUUCAAACAAGGGUCUAGAAUUUAUUGAAAUGAGCACAACCUGCAGGAUUUAAGCAAAACCAAGGCUACAUUUUUUAACAGAUGCUCUGUUAUUUCAGUAGUGGGUAGCAGCAGUUCCACCACAUGCAUGUGAUUAUGGAUGUGACAUUUCCACUCUGCAAAUCCCAUUUCCAGGAAAGAACUCAUCUAGUCUUACAUUCCUACUUGGCACAUAUCAGACAGUUUUGCAGGGCCCUGUUUUCAUGCGUAUCACCGAGUUUUCUGUUGUUCUUACUGGAUCACAGGACAUUUGAAGAGAACCAAUGUGCAGGUAGGAAGGGAAGGGGACUAUGAAAGCCUGCAGCUGCAGGAGGCGAGGGAAGGAAAAUAUUGCCACAAGAGCAGAGGAGGAAAGCAGGAAUGCAGUGCAGCAAUUAAAGCAAAGAAUGCAAUGUCUGAACGAGGCUUCAGGAGUUGGAGGCCCAACCGUGCCUCCCACUGCAGGCAUGCUAUUUUCCCUUAUUCUUCACAUAUGUGACUUUGCUGCAGCUGAGCCCUGAAAAUCUGAAAAAGCUUGCUGGGAAGGUGCUGGUUUAUUUCACAGGACAGCAGACAACCUUCUCUUGGCUUUGUGGGAAAAAAAGUUGUUGAGAUUGCAAAUGUUUGUGUAACCUUGGGAAAAGGCAGGUAGGCUCUGUCAGAAUGGAAAGAGCGUGACGGGGCUUGGGUCAUCCUCACCUGCUGGCACGUGUCAGCAGCCAGCUCCCAGCACCUGCCUGGAGAAGCAGCUUUUCCUGUGGCCCUGUGCCAAACCACUGGCAGGCCAUUGCCACAACAAAUCUCUGUGAAUCAAAGCAGCUGCAGAGUAAGCAGCAGGAGAAGGUCAGCUAUCUCAUUAGAGCCGGGAGGCCCAGGCCUUCAGCCACGGCAAGGUCCCAGCUUCACAGCUGCAGCGUAUUUUGAUACCUGGCCUCAAACAAAUUGCAUAACUGCACCGUGAGGUCACCACCCCUCCUACUUGAUCCUCUCUGAGAACUGGAGGAGGGGGAAAGGAAAAUCACAAAAAAAAAUCCAACAAACAUGGGUGCUCAGGCAACCACCAGACACAGCGAUGCACUCCAGUUUCUGCGGAGAACAACAGACCUCCUCAUUUGACUCCAGAGAUGCAAUGCCUUUUUCUGCUUACAAAAAAAUGCUUGUUCCCAGAGACAAAAACAGGGGCUGUUUCCUGAACAAUCACCCAUGGAACAGUACAGCUUUCCAUAGCAUGAUCAGCAGCAUACACUGUCUAUGCAUACAUUGUAACUGACAUUUUGUACUUGCCUUCAGAGCAACCACAGAAAAGCUAAGUUGAUGCUCUGCUUCUUUUGAGAGGUUUUCAGGUGAGUAGCAAAAGCAGUUUCUCCUCAUUAGGCCUGAGAUGCCAACCUGCACGUAGUUAUGUACAGCUUGCAGAAUUAUCUAAAGCUUCCCAGGUGAAAGCUGUCAGGAUACUGAAAACACAACAAAAUCAAUUCUUGCUCUUUUUCUCAAUGUCAUGAAUAUGCAGAAGUGCUAGUUCUCCCAUUCUAGUUCUUUAAUUAAGAUUGAUUCGGAUUUAUCUACAAGAGGUCUUGCAAGUUAUAUCCAUGUAAGUUUGGCUAAGCGAAGUUCUCUCUCCUUAUCUGGUUCUAUAUUUUGCUUUAAUUUUUUUUUUUUUAAGGCUGGCCGUUCUUGUGAUUAACAGGUGUUGUUUUUGUGUUUUGUUAUUUUUUUCCUGGACUUGGCAGUAACCUUGUGUUUUGUAUGUACUUCUGCUAACUUGACCAUUACCCAAGCUAAAGUUACUGCUAUAGGAGUACCCAGCAUUCACUCAGUACUUGCUGAAUGCCAAGGUGGAGAAACACUCCUGGAACAGAUAAAACAUUGGUAGGAACAUGAAAUACAGAAAGAAAUGCCCUGGAAGAGGCCUAGAUCAAGGCACAGAACAUUUCUGAUUCUUUGUUGUUGGAACUCUUACAUCCAGGUGUUCUUACUAGAAACUAAAUGGCAGGUCUUAUCUGAACUCUCCUUCAUUCCCCACUGCAGACCCACACUGCAACAUUCACGUACUUCUCAUCUCCAUCUGAAGCAGAAAAAACUCAGACUGCUCUUCUGUGAAAUUAUUUGAAAAAUCUAUUUUAAAACAUGCAAAUCCAGUUGCUUGGAAAGACCUGCUUGAAUAGGCAAUCCUUCCUUGGGGGCAACAAUUACACAUGUAAAGUGGAACUGCAUCAGGUAGAAAUUUGUCAUCAGUACCUCAUACAUUUAUUGCUGUGUGUUUUCAUGCAACACACACACGUGAAAUACUAUGAGAUCAGUCUGAUCACUGUUUUCCCUCUUCCAUCCCAACAUCUGCUUUUCUGGCUAAGGAAGCAGAUGACAUACGUAAGAUAACAUCCAGCAGUGAGUGCUAGGACUUGCAUCAGCAACCAGCUUUUUCAUGUAGGACUUUCCAGGCUUUCCCUGGAGGCUAAAAGAGCUAACUCUUGUGACUGGACACUCCACAGACAAAUAGAGAUCCUUCCAUACAGAUGCGAGAUGCCAUAUCAAAUAAGAUCCUACAUCCAUACAAAGCUGCAUUCUUGUUUUUCUUCAGAAAAUACUCUCAUUCAAACAUACAAAAAAAAUGUAAAGCUUUAGAAAAAGAAACAAAGGAAUCAUUUACAGUGUCUCCUCAGGCAAAUAAUCAUGAAUACGAUGGGGACCAUCAUAAAUAAAAGUAAGGCUGUAUAAUGAAGAGUUCAAGAUGCCAUGGCCAUUUGCUUCAGGGUUUUACUAGGUCAGCAGAGGACUUUUUUCUUAUAGAGCAAGUUCUCAUUAACAAAGUGUACAUGACACACCAUAGGAAAAAUUAACAGUGAACGAUAGGGCUGGUGGGAACGCAUAGGGGUGGCAAAGGAGUUUCCAGAAGAUCAAUCUGGUUUUCAUUUUCUAUAAACUGAAUGGGCCAAAGCAGCUCAAAUUAAAGAGUAGAAAACAUGCUCAGAUUAUGUCUGAACUGCUUGGUAACCAGGCAAAAUACAGAACAAAACAAAAGCUAUAGCACUGCAGUAAAAGAUUGCUUGCAGAGUUCAGUAAAAAAGACCAUUCAGCAAGUUAUGUAUGCUCAGAGGAAUCUGUGAAACUAGUGUUCCCAAAUAAACUUUAUAUACAUAUAAAAACCUCCCAGAUACUCGGGAGAGAUUUGAAUAAUGAAAUCCACAUGCAGCUUAGGUGCUCAAAAACUCUUUGUUUUGUUUCGAGAGUACCAGAAACAGGAGAGAAGAAACUGGAAAGCAAUCUCAAGCAAGUUUUGCUGGUCACUUCCCAACAAAGAAAUUUUGAUCUUUAAAAAGCCAACAAAAACCACAGAUACUUGUAAACUGGCUUUGCAAGAGAGAGCUGUUUGUGCUUGGAUUUCCAGCUGCAUGACCCUAUUGUUUCAUCCAGACACUUCAGAUGUUCCACAUGAUGGAAGGCUAUUGUACAAACAUAUGGAGAAGGAAACAGUCCAGAUGUGAAAGCUAAAACCUGCUAAUAUUUGGGAUCAUCACUAGCAAGCCGAAAUUCUGUGGGAGCCAGGCCAUUUCUUCACUCAAUGCUACUAGCAGGCGAGGGGCUUGUACAGAAGACUUGGAUAGUGAUCUUUACAAAACAAAGAAAGCAAAAAAAAAAAAAAACCCUUCUCCCUUUCAUGCAAAAACUUAAGAGUAAAAAAAAUAUUUUUAACUUAAGUUUCUAAAUGACCCGUUGCUACAGCCAAGGCUGGCCAUUCGGAGGUCUGUUAUGGUCUGAACACACACUUGGUUUUGGAUGGUAUACAAACAGCAGUGCCUUUCUCCACCUCACUGGUUCAGGAUUUGUCUCCUCUUGUAUGCUCUGUGAAGGGAAAUUUCCAAGAGCCCUCGUUUGCCAGGAUCUCAGAAAGCAGGAUGCUUGUAAAUUUUACUUUACUGCCUACUCAUAAGGGGAGACCGUGAGGGCACAGCAGGGAGGGUGUGGGAGAACACAGGGAAAAGUAUCACAAAUACUGCAGCCAGAGGGAAAACUGAGCACUGGGUUUGUUGUUAUAGGGUCUCAACCAGUGAGCAGUUUAUUUUUCCAAAUAAAUCUGCUUCGCAGACAUCCUUUCUUCUUCCCCAUUCAAGUUUCAACCAGGAAACCUGGAAUAAGUUACAGUUGGUUUUAGAGGCAAAUCAAAGCAUUCAGCCUACUGAGCUCACAUUUAAAGUUAGCCUUUAUGAGGAACUCCUUGGGGCCCUCGUAUUCAAAUAGUGAAGUCUGAGAUUCACCUGAAGUGCCCACCCAUACAGAUCUAUGACAAGGCAGGAGGACAAGGGGAUGGGCAGCCGGGGCUUCAAGCCUCAGUUCUAGCAGUAGAGGCUCCAUAUUUUAAAUCAAAACUAGAAAACAAAACAAAACAAAACAAACCUUUAAUAAAAUCCUAGAGUCAUUCCAGACAGAAUACUUACUAACUAGCCAAGACCAGGAUAGGGCUGGAUUUAGGCAGACUAAAUGGGUUGGAUGAGCAGCACCACCUUUCCACCUUGGAAAGGCUGAGCAAUUGUCUUUCUUGGAUUUGAAUUAGGUUGGAAUUUCAGAGCCAUUUUAUCCCAGAUCUCUUGUAUUCAGGAAGCUUUCCUUAUUGGCAUCCUUGACACUUGACCCUUGUUAGUAGUCCUGCUACUACUUACCAGAAUAAUGAAACACAAGCACAAUGGAAAUGGAUUAGUAAAAAGGUCAGUGAAAUUCCAAAAGUCCCUUCUUCAGACCUGACAGUAGUUCUGAAUGGAGGCUCUUACCAGCCCAUUUUGUUGAGGUGGUUUGAUGUUGCAACCUGGCUGCUAAUAUAAAGAAAUGAGAAUAAAAUAGUGGAUGAAACUGAGAUAGCACAGCAGGUUAUGGCUUGCAUGUGGCAAAUUUGCUUUUGUUUUACCACUUUGAACACCACCCACCUUAUACUGAAGUGUAAUGGUGCUGCCUGUACUCCCCCAGGACCAAGAAUUUCAUAUAAUUUAAUAGUUUCUGUAAUUAGAUAUUUGUGAAACUGAAAUGCUCUGAUGAAAGGUGCUGUACAACUAUUACCAACUCUUUUGCCAUGAAAGGACUCCACCCAACCCGAAAUACAGAUGUUGUCCUCAAUGUUCAUCAUUACUAAUCCAAAUCAGCAGUACUUAUGGCCUGAUUUAAAUCCUCCUGAAGUCCAAGAUGAGUCCUGUGGGUUUGAGUAGGGCCUCAGGAAUUCUAGAAUGGAAAUUAAGUCAAAUCAGCCUUUUCUUCUCUCAAAAUUAGGACCUCCUUUUCCUUGGUAAUGACAGGAGCAAGACUAUUUGAAGUGAAGUCUAAUGCCAUUUGCUGCUGAGAGCUGUAUGAGGAAUUACCAUGUUCCUCCAUCAAGUCCAAGGACUCCUCUCGACUGCUGGAUGAUCGUUCUGCGCAUUAACACAAGACUCUGUAGUGCCCCGUCCCCACCCCGCCCUCUUCUUGCUGUGGAUUUCUACGAGGGGAUUCUAUUUUACAUUUAGUGUUUCUCAUAUUCAAGGAAUGACCUAACACAUCUUCAAACACCACUGAUAUGGUCAUCUACAUCCAGCCAUCAGGCCAGAUAUUGAUUAUUUAAUAUUGAUGGACCUGAGAUAUCCGGUAAUAAUAACAGUGAAGAAAGGGCAGAGCUGCUGCACCAGGCAUGCCACUGGUCUAGCUCUGCUGCUGCUGAGCAGCGACUCUGGUACCAAACCCUGCGCGUUCUUUAAGAAGGGGAAGUAGGAAGAACACUCCACCACCGUUCCUGGCCUGUCACUCAAAGAAGCAAAUGAAAGAGGAGAGUAAUUGUUUGCUGGUUACUACAGGAAAGGUUGUUUGCUGAGUCUUUUUAAACCAGUACGACAGGAUUGUUUGCUUCAAGCUACUUAGAUAUUAAAGAAACAAAAACGAUUUCAGCGUUUUCAUCUCAGGGAUUGCCAGCAUCUCUAGUGGUGCAGCACUCCUUCACCUCCUUCAGCACAAACGUUAUCCAUAUUCCUCCAGAAGUCCUCUGCCACUGCCUUUCUUCUCCUGCCUCGCCUGCACCUCCCGUCGCCGGCCCUGGCAAACAAGAGAGCCGCGGUUCAGCCAAGCAAAGAGAGAGCCCCACGUGCUGCGCCGGACUCGAGGCCAGCCUCAUCCAUCUUCUCUGCUCUCAGCCUCUUCAGUGCUUCAGUAAUUAGAAUUAUCAGGACUGAAACACUGUGGACAUUAUUGCUGCUUAGCGUGAAGUUAACAAGAGAGCCAGAUUUACAACAUUCUGGCCAGACAGAGAAUUAAAAAAAGUUACGAAUGAUUGCCCAGUCCCAGGGAUACAUACUCCAGGGUCUUACUUUGCCAGAGACUCCACAUGAACUUUAGCCUCUAGGAGAAAUCCGCCUGCAUUUUUCUAACUGAAAUACCAGCCAGACCAGUGGCAGGAUACAAACGAACACGCAUGAAAAAGUAAGGUUCAAUGACCCAAAUCAAUUAUGUUUUAAGGGCACUGCUCUGGACUCAGUAGGAAAUAUUUGAAACAGGAAAAAAGAACUAAAUGGGAUCAUUCAUUGAACUGACCUGGAAAUAAGACAGCAAUUUGGUAAAUAAGUUCAAUGCAAGCCAGUUUCAUGUAGCAAUGGUAGUGGAUAAAAAAAAAAAAUUUAAGGGUUGGGGGGAAAUAAAGGAAUUUCUUAGAUUCAAGUAAUGUUUCAGGCUUCUGGGUACUGCAGUGAACAGUGCAGUAAAACAAAGCAGUUCUCAUGCCUUCCUUGCACACAGGUGGUGUAAUACAGUUUACUUCCAGGAAUAAAAUUAAAUUAAAAAAAAAAAACA